Molecule: long non-coding RNA, 1018 nt
Filed under: Accipiter nisus (Eurasian sparrowhawk)
Lineage: Eukaryota; Metazoa; Chordata; Aves; Accipitriformes; Accipitridae
Description: lncRNA (ENSANIG00000002598.1)
Source: RNAcentral
GUAUCAGAUAUGUCACACUACCUAAGGAAAGAAGACAAAAGAACACGUAGCUUUUCUUGUUGCAAACGAAAGAAUUAACUUCAGAAUCCGCCCUCCACCUGAUGUUUCCCAUAGCCAAAUCAAUCUAGAUGUGAGUUUUUCUUUGUGACAUUUCCACCUCUUGCUAGAUACGGACAAAACUGCGGAGGAAGCGCCUGGCAGCAGCGGCUCAAGGAGAGACGGGGGGAAAAAAGAGGAGUUUGCCGCACUUGCGUGACUUCUCUAGAAAGAGCUGCCCAGCGCUGCGCGGAGGUCUCUUCACCUCACGCCGGUCCUUCCACACGCACGGUUUGUUCUCGGCCAGGGAGGCGAGGACAAAGUCACCGCACGGGAAGCGACGGUGCUAAGCAAACCCUCCACCACAGCCCCGGCUCGCCCCCGGCGGGCCGCUCCCUGCCCGCCUGGGCCCCCGAGGCCGAGGAGGGGGGACCACGGCCUGGCCUCGGAGACCCAAACCCCGCUCCGGGCUCCCACCUCCGCCGGCCCCCUGAGGGGCUUUGCGGGCCCGCCGCCGACAUGGCGGACGCCGGCGCGAGCUCGCCCUCGGCCCGCGCCGUCGCCUAGGCGAUGGGCCGCGCGCUACGAGGCGGGGCCAGGGCGUGGCCUCAUUGGUUCCCUUUUCCCCGUCGGGAUGAUGGGGGGGGGGGGGGGGGGGGGGGGGCGGGAACGGAACGACGAGGGAGCUGUGGCUAUAAAUAAACCGCGCUUCCUGAUUGGCCGGGGGGAAAAAUGGUCGCACCACGUGACUCUCCAUCUAAAAAUUCCAAGAUGGCGGAUCCCGUCACGGGCUGAGUCCGUUGGUGGCGCGCGCGCCGCGGUCUCCGCGCCGGGGCCAUCACCGCACGGCUUCCCCGCCUCGCCCGCCGCCACCCAGGUUCCCAUUUUGAAAGCCAUUAGAAGAUAUUCUGCCACCCUGUUGGAUUACUCCCUACACAACUCAGCAUGUCACUGUGCCCUGGAUUUUAUAAGGUGGCCAUGA